UUAUUAAUAUUAUUUAAAUUACAUAGUUAUGUUUCAGUGAUAUAUUGGGGGGGACAAAUCAUAUUUUUCCCAGGAUGGGGGGGUCGUGUCCCCCGUCCCCCCCGGGAUUUCCGCCCCUGAUUGCUACAUAACCUACAAGGAUAGACCAUGACAUUUGACAUUUGAAUAAAUGUUUUAUGACAGUUUUUAUCAUAAAGAAGACGCACAUAUAGCAUAUUAUUGUUGGUCAAUCAAAGCGGCGCUGGUCAGACGCUCCAUAUGUAGCAAGUGAAGUGGGAGGUUUCUAAUCAAUGCAAAAUUGAAUUAAAAUGAAGUUGGCUAAAUGAGGAGUAGACUACAAUGAUCAACCAACAGGUUGUCUUUUGUUUCAUAUGAAUGGAGUUGUUAUAGACAAGGAUGCCUCAACCUAAGUUAGCCUUGCUACUUUAGCUAGCAAACUUAGCUUGCUAUUGUAGCUAACUAGCUUCUUUACAACGAUUUGAUGCAGUCAAGACAGGCACUACCAGAUGGUAGAGUAUGAUAGACAAACUUGUUGCUGCAAUAGGUUAUCUAUUGUAACUAGCCUGAGUCGGUUUGGUUACUUUCUCUCCCGCUGUGCCACACACAAGACUGUCACACAAGACUGUCACACACAGACCCCUGCUCUUCUCUCUCUCUCCCCUCUCCCACCCUUCCAAGCAGAGCUGCGCUGUGCGCGCAAAUCUCCAUUGAAGCAAUAACGGAUAUCCGAAAAAAUAUCACAUUAUUUGAAUAGUGAAAUAAUUUGAAUUGCCCAUCCCUAGUAGGGUUAAGCUGCAAUAUGUAACUUUUGUAUUUUUUUCUAUGUUCAAAAGCUUUUAUUAAGUAAAUCGCGAGUGGUCAUCCAAUGUGUGAUGCAACAGUAACAAUAUGGAGUCUAGCCUAAGAACCUUUGUAUUCACUUUCACUGUUUGGUCAGAAUUUCCUGUCAGACUUAGUGUCGCGCCUAAUGAUUGACGAGACUUCCGCCAUGAGCUGAAUGCCUGACUAAAUUAUGACCAGGAAGAGAAAUAUUCGCUGAAUCGUUUCAUUAUAGGAAUGGUAGAUUGAUGCCUGCAGCUUCUCCAUCAAAUUGAAGUAAACAAAGAAACAGAGUCCUUUGCAGAGCCAACAGGCGAAAAUAGAAAACGACAGAGCCUGGGCCAAGACGAGUGUGAACCUCGGAUUUGCGUUUACAAUCUGAAGAGUGCGAGCUAGCUAACGUUAGCUAGGGGAUUCAAAACCGACCAAUACUUGCCCUAAUUUCUGCUGAAAAGUGCUGCUACAACUUCGAGGAUGCAGUUGGCACAUCCCUGAGUGGAGAAGGAUCAGAUCGGUCUUCGUCUGAGCUCGACUACAGCAGCACUGGACUACAUCAAUAAUCACCGUCCAGUCAUGGAGAACGCUUACGGGAAGUGUGAACCUACAGAGUACUCAGAAAUGUUGAUGAAAGGGGCCUUCAACCAAACACAUGAAUCAUAUGUAAAUAAGGGACGUUUGUGUGGGCAACAAUAAACUUGUGUGUGAAACCAUAAUUGUUCAUUCUUUACCUAGCAUAUUGAACUUUUGGAAUGGUUUUAGAUUUAUUUGACUAAACUGUACACGUUUCCUGAAUAUUCAAUUCAAGGGGCUUUAUUGGCAUGGGAAACAUGUUAACAUUGCCAAAGCAAGUGAAGUAGAUAAUA
Salmo salar (Atlantic salmon) is the source of this 1682-nucleotide long non-coding RNA. RefSeq lists it as uncharacterized. The record is from RefSeq and is a predicted model, not a curated record. NCBI's taxonomy places the organism in Eukaryota, Metazoa, Chordata, Actinopteri, Salmoniformes, Salmonidae.